GCACAUCUGAUACAGAUCUUGGUGGUGAUAGGGUGGGUGAGUGUGACCAUGGGUUCAGUGUUUUGGUUGCUGAAAGUGUUUGGGCUAUUGAGGAUCUCGGCAGACGAGGAGAUGGCUGGCCUAGAUGUGACAAGCCAUGGAGGAUUGGCCUAUGCAUAUCAUGAUGAAAACAAUGAUCAAAGUGAGAAAAAUUCGUUUCCGAUUGCAAAUAUGGAUGGUAGUAAUGCUUGAUUCGUUAUUGUGAUUUAGAUUUUGUAGAAAUUGGUGUAGGCUCCCUAGGAGAAUGGCACUGCCUUACUAUGUCGUUCAAAUGUUAUACUAAACCUGCAUGCUUGUAUGCAUCAUAGUUUGAUUCGUAUGGACCUUUAGAAUUUAAGUUGUUUUGGAUUAAUUGUUUGAGUUUGCAAUUUAAUAUAUAUUAAAAAUAAAUAAGCAAAUGAAUAUUUGUUAUAUAUCUUGCUCUGUAUAGGAAAUUAGGGAUCUGUAGAGGCAUUUGCCUCAGCUUGCACCGUGUAAAGUCCUCUCUCUCUUAAAAUUAUAUAAGGACUAAACAAAUUUGGUUUGAUCUGUUCAGCUAUUACAUCAAUAAUAAUUAAUUAAAUAAUUAAAAGUUUUUUAAAAAAUUAUUAAACCGGUUCAACUUGUUUAACUAUUAAUUUUUUAGUUUUUGUUUUAAUCUUUUAUUUUUAUUGGGUUCAAACAAUUUUUAAUUCAACUGGUUCAAUCAUUUUGUUUGAACCAAUAUACUGAUCGAUUUUUGGUCUAAUUUGUUCGAUAGAAUAAUUUAGUUAUAUUUCAAGAACAUUAUUCACAUUUAAUAAAAUCUAAAUUUAAUAAUGAAAAUGUCAAAUUCAUGUAAAAAAAUUGCAAAAAGUAAAAUGAACUUAAGGGCAAAAGCUAUAAUAUCCCUAUUAAAUCAACAACUACAUACCCUCCCUGAUAAAAUAAUAACGAAAAAGGAGUAAAAAGCGUUGGAAAGACGAGGAGAAAAACUAGCACUCACGAUGUGAAGAUUGUCAAAACGGCAAUUGAAUCCCUCGGUUAAGGCGGUGACAGUGAUGAAGCCAUAUUUAAGCAAAUGCCUUUUCACCUAUAUCAUACAUCCAACGGCUGGUAUUGCACCGAAUAUCAAUCAAUGUAAUCCCAGCCGUUACGUGGUUCUCCCAGUGAAGUCUACCUAACCCUCUUUUCUUUACAAGCCCAUGGCGGUGACUUUGACGCGUUAAAACUGAGCUUGCAAGAACG
This 1245-nucleotide long non-coding RNA is filed under the name Gossypium raimondii (Peruvian cotton). RNAcentral describes it as "long non-coding RNA (GRAI_LNC005261)". The record is from RNAcentral. Lineage: Eukaryota; Viridiplantae; Streptophyta; Magnoliopsida; Malvales; Malvaceae.